GGAGUUAGCCGGUGCUUCUUCUGUGAGUGAUGUCCUUCCUGCCGGUUAUUGACCCGCAGGCCUUCUUCCUCACUGAAAGUGCUUUACAACCCGAAGGCCUUCUUCACACACGCGGCAUGGCUGGAUCAGGGUUGCCCCCAUUGUCCAAUAUUCCCCACUGCUGCCUCCCGUAGGAGUCUGGGCCGUGUCUCAGUCCCAGUGUGGCUGAUCAUCCUCUCAGACCAGCUACGGAUCGUCGCCUUGGUGAGCCGUUACCUCACCAACCAGCUAAUCCGACAUAGGCUCAUCCGAUAGCGCGAGGCCCGAAGGUCCCCCGCUUUCCCCCGUACGGGCGUAUGCGGUAUUAGCCUGGGUUUCCCCAGGUUAUCCCCCACUACCGGGCAGAUUCCUAUGCAUUACUCACCCGUCCGCCGCUCGCCACCAGGGAGCAAGCUCCCCGUGCUGCCGCUCGACUUGCAUGUGUUAGGCCUGCCGCCAGCGUUCAAUCUGAGCCAUGAUCAAACUACUGA
Molecule: ribosomal RNA, 509 nt
Filed under: uncultured bacterium
Lineage: Bacteria
Description: partial 16S ribosomal RNA
Source: RNAcentral